CCUACGGGAGGCAGCAGUGGGGGAUAUUGCACAAUGGGGGAAACCCUGAUGCAGCGAAGCCGCGUGUGGGAAGAUUGUCCUCCGGAUUGUAAACCACUGUUCUCAGGGACGAAAAUGACGGUAGCGGGGGUGGAAGCUCCGGCUAACUAAGUGCCAGCAGCCGCGGUAAUACGUAGGGAGCGAGCGUUGUCCGGAAUUACUGGGUGUAAGGGGAGCGUAGGCGGGGAUGCAAGUUGGGUGUCAAAACUACCGGCUAAACUGGUAGUCGCACUCAAAACUGCAGGUCUUGAGUAAAGUAGAGGCAGGCGGAAUUCGUAGUGUAGCGGUGAAAUGCGUAGAUAUUAGGAGGAACACCAGUGGCGAAGGCAGCCUGCUAGGCUUUUACUGACGCUGAGGCUCGAAAGUGUGGGUAGCAAACAGGAUUAGAUACCCUGGUAGUC
This 440-nucleotide ribosomal RNA is filed under the name uncultured bacterium. RNAcentral describes it as "partial 16S ribosomal RNA". It matches the Rfam family "Bacterial small subunit ribosomal RNA", at positions 338 to 795 of the family's 1533-position model. The record is from RNAcentral.